GAAAUGCGAUAAGUAGUGUGAAUUGCAGAAUUCAGUGAAUCAUCGAAUCUUUGGACGCACAUUGCGCCCUAUGGUAUUCCGUAGGGCAUGCCUGUUCGAGCGUCAUUUACACCUUCAAGCCUUGCUUGGUGUUGGGUGACUGUGGCCCCUUUGGGGCCACUCGCCUUAAAGUCAUUGGCGGCCGGUUCGUUGGCUUUGUAGCGCAGCACAAUUGCGUCCUCGAAGCCGCUGGACCAGCUCCCAGAAGCUAAUUUUAAAUGUUUGACCUCGAAUCAGGUAGGGAUACCCGCUGAACUUAAGC
RNAcentral lists this unclassified non-coding RNA (301 nucleotides) under plant metagenome. RNAcentral's name for it is "partial contains 5.8S ribosomal RNA, internal transcribed spacer 2, and large subunit ribosomal RNA". The stretch from base 1 to 105 matches the Rfam family "5.8S ribosomal RNA", at positions 50 to 154 of the family's 154-position model. The record is from RNAcentral.